This is a long non-coding RNA of Oncorhynchus masou masou (cherry salmon), 206 nucleotides long. RefSeq lists it as uncharacterized. NCBI's taxonomy places the organism in Eukaryota, Metazoa, Chordata, Actinopteri, Salmoniformes, Salmonidae. The transcript is spliced from 3 exons. The record is from RefSeq and is a predicted model, not a curated record.
AGACAGUGGCGAGGGUACCUGGUUGAUAGCGGACAGAGACAGAGAGGCUCAGAUCGUGAACCGGCGUGGGGGCGGUCCUCCGGGGGAAGCGGGUGCCGACCCGUUACUAUGUCGACAAGAACGUCACCUGUCACAGCUGUCAGAGGACUGGACACCUCUCCAAGAGCUGCCCUACGCCCCCGGAGCCGUGUUGCUUUUUGUGCGGG